This 71-nucleotide transfer RNA is filed under the name bacterium. Its description in RNAcentral is "tRNA-Gln". It matches the Rfam family "tRNA". Rfam says of the family: Transfer RNA (tRNA) molecules are approximately 80 nucleotides in length. Their secondary structure includes four short double-helical elements and three loops (D, anti-codon, and T loops). Further hydrogen bonds mediate the characteristic L-shaped molecular structure. tRNAs have two regions of fundamental functional importance: the anti-codon, which is responsible for specific mRNA codon recognition, and the 3' end, to which the tRNAs corresponding amino acid is attached (by aminoacyl-tRNA synthetases). tRNAs cope with the degeneracy of the genetic code in two manners: having more than one tRNA (with a specific anti-codon) for a particular amino acid; and 'wobble' base-pairing, i.e. permitting non-standard base-pairing at the 3rd anti-codon position. The record is from RNAcentral.
UGCCCCGUCGUCUAAUGGUAGGACGGAUGAUUCUGGAUCAUCUAGUCGAGGUUCGAGUCCUUGCGGGGCAA